RNAcentral lists this long non-coding RNA (10168 nucleotides) under Nicotiana tabacum (common tobacco). RNAcentral describes it as "long non-coding RNA (NTAB_LNC001734)". Lineage: Eukaryota; Viridiplantae; Streptophyta; Magnoliopsida; Solanales; Solanaceae. The record is from RNAcentral.
AAGGAGUAUUCCCAAAAUAUACCCUCCCUAAGUAGCCUAUGUAGGCUAUUUUAUUCUGAAAAGGACACAGAAUCAGAUUUUUAGAACCCUAAAAAGUAUUUUAAAAGUUUCAGCUACUUUUUCAUUGAGAAGGGGUUUCAUUUCUUUUUCUAAGUUCCACAUAAAUCAGAAUAAAUUUUCUUUUAAAGAUUCUGGGCUUUUGGGUUGCAAGAGGGUUUGAAUUUGAAGCUGUGAUACUGCUGGUUAUUGGCUACUGUUCCAUUGACUGCUUGUCUCGGUUUUCUUUGCUGUUUUCUCUGAAGAUUCACAGCUUUGUUUCUAUUCUUUGUAACCAAGGUAUACUUUGAUCCUUGAAUCAUGAAUGAAAGCUUGUUUUGAAGAGUGUACUGCUGCCAUGGAGUUUCAGAGUUCAUGUUUACAUUUUGUUUCUGUCUGAUGUUUUCUUUUAAUUCAUUCGAUUACUGUUUUUUUUUUGCCUUCUUCUUAUUAGCUUCUGUUAGCUACAUUAAAGUUUUUUUGUGUGGUUUCAUGAAAUAACUAGGAUGUUUAGUAUUGAAGGUUUGAAUAGCACCUCUUGCAUAUGCUAUGUUUUAGGCUAAGUAGUCUAGUUUAAAAGAAAAUGUUAACUUUCACUCUUUUGUACUGCUCAUAUGAUUCUGUCUAGUGUUUUAAAUUUAAUGUUUGGUAAUAUAUGAGAUUUUCAUGUUUAAGUAUUUGGAUAAGUACUGAGUAUGGUCAAAAUAGACCAUGAUUGAUGCUUGAGAACAUUUGGUUAAAGUAUUUUAGUAUUACUACAGUGUGUAAAAUAAUUGUAUGUUCCUGUUGCUUCAUGAAUAACUAUUGCAGUGUUUUAGCAUUUCCAUAGUGUUCAAAAGAAUUAUGCAUAUUAAAAAAUGCAGUGUUCGGCUGUUAAGUAUGUUCAGUUUUUUACUAGUGCCAAUUCCAGCAUUUUAAAGUGACUAUUUACUUAGGUUUUCUUUUUUUUUUUUUAAAAGAAAAGAAAAAUAAUUUAGGAACGAUUUAAAGAUUCUGUUUUUUAGCUAUUACUAAAUGUAUGAUAAAUAGUUUAGUUAGGCACUUCAUCUAUAAUUUGUGCAAACAUGACUAUACAUGAACUGUGAUGAGUUAAGUUAUAGCAGGCUUUGGGUGUUUGAGGUGUUGACUUCUUUGGGCCUGGCGAUGGCCCAAACAAGGCUGCUAGGCAGAAAGCAGGUUUUCCAUUGUUUCCAUCUUUCUUUCUUUUUUUGAUCUGCUAGGCAAUCGCCUAGGGCUAAUUUUUAUAACUAAUAAAAUCAUAAAUAAAAUACAUUGUCAGGGGGUCUAACAUAAUGAAAUAGAUAAACUUUGACGGUUACAUGAAACCUAUUAUCAAUAUUGAGUUUGAAAGUCAACAUUGAUAUUACAUUAGAUCUAGCAUUAGCCAAGUGUUUAAAAUGUAGUCGUGCAUAGUGAGCGUCCCAUGAUAGGGUGUAUUUUGACUUUGUUAAAUUUAUGGAAAAUAUAUCCAAAGUCCAGUAUUCAGUCCAGAUUUUCUUUAACUGCAUCUUGUACCUGUCGCUGCACUCGCAAUAAUAGCGUAACUCAUUGUGUAUUUGUGUGAACCUUUGAUUGCCAUAAAAGUGUAUGUCUUGUUCCAUUAUUGACUGCAUAUUACCCAUUGUGUCUCAAAUUCUUCCUGCAUCGAAGGUUGCCAUGUUGAUUCCCUCUUGAAGAACUGUUCAUCUGUUUGAAUAGCAUUGUUGCUCCAUCCAAGCCUUUUUGCUAUUAAAGAAAGCAUAUUACAGAUGAUUUUUGCGUAGGCGUGCGUUAGCUUGAGAUGCUCAUAAUGAUUCCUUACUGUGUAAAAUUUCCAGCACCUCGAAAAUGCAAUAAGUUUUCCUUUUUUUAGUCUUCCAUGGGUAAUUGUAAUGGCCCAUGCUUUGUCCAAAAAUUUAGGUGUGUAGAAAACACUACCCAAUGUUCCUUUAUUUAAAGUCCCAAAUCUCAUGAAUCCUUUGUGGCCCCAUGUUCUUGGCAUGUGCAACCAUGCUUCUAAGCUUUUUACACCUAUCGAGUACUUAUCCUCUGUCCCCUCCCUUUGUUUAACACACUUUCAGUCGAGAGAGUGCAUUGGAUUUAUGUAGGUUGUUGCGUUUGAAAAGUUCUUUAUGAUGAACUUUAAUAAAGCUUCAUUAUUUCCAGACACAACCUGUUGCCAGAACCAUGCGAUGCACUUUGUAUCCUUAUAUUGUAUUCCUAAAGACUGGUUCCCUGCAUAUGCAUUUUGUUUCCUGUUGUAUAUUGAAGAUAUACACCUACUGGUCACUUCUGCAACAUUAUGGAUGUUGGGUACAUCAGUGAUUCUGCUACAUUUGACCUCGAUGUCAUGUGUCCAUCCUUUGUGUGUUGUUGAGUUCCCUACACUAUUGGAUACUUCAUGUGCUCGACUAUGAUGCUGCAUUGAUGAUUUCUUCCUCUUAGCCUUCUGUUUUUCUUUAAUGGAUUGUCAUUUCAAAUAAUUGAUUUUCCUCAAGCUUAUGCAUGUCACCUUUCCUCCUUCAAGGGAUUAAGCACAAAGUACUAAUACCACCCAUAGAAGUCGUAUUAAUUGACAUGUCUUGAGCACAAUAUAGAUUCCUGCAAAAAAGAACCCAAGGUUAGUAAAAUAACAUUUGUCGACUUCCUUUCCUCCCCUAGGAUUUGAAAUCAUCCCCUUUGACCUUGUGUUAACCUCUCAUUCUACUGCCUCGAAGCCUUUACUCUCAGAAAUGGACAUUGCAUUUUGUCUCCAUUAACUAGUCUUCUGCCUUGUGUAUCCAGAUGAUCGAAAGAGUGGCAUUCUAUGACUCCUUGAUCAAGAGCAUAGUUUGCCAAAUGAUCAGCUAGCUUGUUCCCCUCUCUGGAAAUAUGUGUUAUCCUGCCAUUGUACAACAUUAGCAUCUUCCUUAUCUCUUUCACUUCCUCCUCAAUAACCUAUGGUGGUUUCCACUCCCCUGUGAUGACCUUCUUGAGCAGCAUAGAAUUAGUUUCUACCCAUAUGUUAUUCAUCUCAUUAGUCAAACAAUGUUUCAGGGCCUCUAACAUUGCCCUUGUUUCUGCUUGAGUGUUUGUCACCUCUUCAAUUUCUUUUCCACACGCAUAGAGCAGAUAUCCUUCCUCAUUCCUCAAGCAAAAGCCAAUUAAACUCCUACCUGGAUUACCUCUCGAGGCCCCAUCAAUGUUAAUUUUUGUCCAACCUGUCAUAGGGAGUUCCUAUAAAACCUUGUAGAACUUCAGUUUGAGAGUGUAGUUCUCCAUCAUUCUAAGUAUAUCAGGCCAUGUGAAUGGUACUCGAUCAAUGCCUGGCUUCCUUAGUUUAAUAAGAGAUUGAAUAGUAUUGCAGACUUGGUAUACCACUCGAUUGGUUGACACUACCUCACCAUGCUUAUUGUUGUUCCUCCUUUUCCAUAGUUCCCACACAAUUAUACCUGGCAGUGCUUGGAAUAUUGGUUUGAGUCUCGGAAUUACCUUUGUUGUCCAGCAUUUCACAAUAGCCUGAUGCAGGUUUAAGCCCUCAAGAGAUAAUCUAACAUGAGAAUAGAAGUAAGACCAAACCUUUAAGGCCGUGAGUGAUCGAUAGAAAGCAUGGCUUAAAGUCUCUUCGUUUGGCAUUACACAACACCAACAUUUAGAUGGCAUGUAGUAUCCCAUCUUUCUAAUUACAUCAUCAAGUGGUAGCUUACCUUUCUACAGUUUUCACAUAAAAAAUGAGAUCUUAAAAGGCAAUCCUUUAACCCACAUGUUGUCGUAUGUAAUAGCUGGAUCUUUCCUUCUCCUCAAAUAUUCCCAAGCUGACUUAACCGUGAAUUGACCUCUUGUUUCCAAACACCAAAUAGGUUUGUCCAGUUCAUCAUUCAUCGAUAGAGCUUGUAUGGUGUGCAUAAUGUGCAUAGCUAAGUCACCUGGCAAUAUUUCUCUAAUUUUAUGUUCAUCCCACUGCCCUUCCACAACAACAUCAUUCACAUUAUGGAUUGUUUUAUCAACUAUAAACUCCGGGGGUAUUACAAAGUAAAGGGCCCCCAAGCCUGUCCAAUUGUCAAACCAAAAUAGGGAAGAUCCCAUUUUUAGUUUCCAGAAAAUCAGAUGUUCAGUAGAGUCUCUGCAUUCCAACAUUUUUCUCCAAAUGUGUGAUCCACCUCUCCAAGGCACAACAGUUGCAUGCAUAUUCUUCAAAUAUUUUUGACUCAUAAAAGAGCUCCAUAAAGAUGGCUUAGUCCUGAAGUUCCACCAUAGCUUGCAAAAGAGAGCAUUUGACAUAUCAUUUAAGGAUCGAAAUCCCACUCCUCCUUCAUGUUUAGGUAAGCAUAAAGUAUCCCAAGAUACCCAAUGUCUAGCUCUACCAUCAAUAGAAUUGCUCCAGUAGAAUCUCGCAAACAAAUUAUGCAGUUUGUUUAAAACAUAGGCCGGUGGAUUUACUGCAGAAAGUAGAUGAAUUGGCAUGGUUUGCAACACACUGCUGAUUAGUACUGCCCUUCCUCCGAUAGAUAAUAGUUUCCCUUUCCACGCUUGAAGUUUAUCCAGCACUUUUGAUAUCAAAUCUUCAUAAUACUCCAUUUUUCUCUUUUUGUAAAAAAUAGGACAACCCAAAUAGAUGAAUGGGAAAUCCUUUCUCUGUAUACUAGUUAUUCCUUCAAUCUUCCUACCAACUUCAUCGCUUGUAGAAUGGUGAACAUAAACUACAGAUUUUGCCUUGUUGAUUAGUUGUCCAGAUGCUGCUUUGUAAGCAUUUAGAACUUCCAUAAUCAAUCUUAAAGAAGUAUCAUCUGAUGAUGAGAAAAUGAUUGCAUCAUCUGCAUAAGCAAGAUGGUUGAUCUUAGGGCUCCACUUCGACAUUUCAAAUCCACAAAAGUAUAGAUUAUGAUGUAAAACAUUUAGACCCCUUGACAUUGCCUCUGCAGCCAGUAUAAACAGUGUAGGUGACAGAGGGUCACCCUGCUUCACCCCUCUGGUUGACUUGAAAAAACCAUGUGGUUGGCCAUUAACUAGAACUGAAUACCAAUUGUUUGAUACAAUCCCAAAAAUCAAUCCAAUAAACCAUUUAGAGAAUCCCAUUUUCCUCAAGAUCUUUGUUAGAAAAAUCCAGGAGAGUCGAUCAUAUGCCUUCAUCAUGUCCAAUUUUAGAACUAUAUUAGGGCCUGCCUUUGUCCUCAAUCUAAUGUCAGUGAUUAUUUCUUGAGUGAGUAAUACAUUCUCAGCAAUACUUCUACCUUUUACAAACCCUGAUUGCUCAUCAGAUAUAAUAUUAGGAAUUAUAUCCACUAUCCUCUCAUGAAUAACCCUCGAUAUGAUUUUGUUAGAGAAAUUACUCAAGCUAAUUGGCCUUAAAUCCGAGAAGUUCUGGACAUCCUUCUUCUUAGGUAGUAGGAUCAAAUUUGUAUGAGUCACAAAUUUGGGUAGAUCCUUCCCACAAAAAAAAUCCUGCACCAUGUCUACUAUGUCUCCCCCAAUGAUUUUCCAACAAGCAUGAAAGAAAUUACCAUUGAAUCCAUCAGGUCCCCAUGCACUGUCCCCGUUCAAACCAAAUACAACCUUUUUCACUUCCUCAAUUGUUGGUUUCAUUGUAAGAUCACAGUUUUGCACUUCAUUUAACAUUACUGGGACAUGAUCCAAUAUCCUAAAGUCAGUAGGAAUUGUGGAUUCAUGAAACUGCUGCUAGAAGAAAAGAACAGCUUCAUCUGCAAUAGCUGAUGGAUCUUCCAACCAAUUCCCAUUGAUGUAUUGUAUUCUUUUCAGCGGUAGCUUCCUUCUUUUGCCAUUAACAUGAGCAUGAAACAAUUUAGUAUUUCUAUCUCCAUCUUUGAACCAAGCCAUACCUGCUUUUUGUUUUCAAAAUUCUUCUUCCAAAUCCCACACUCGAAUAAAAUCUGCCAGCACCCUUUGGAGCCUUUCACGAUUUUGUAUAGUUGGAUUCAGUUCAAAUUGUAUCUCAUGUACCUUCACCACUUCCUCCAAGCUAGAUAUCCUUUGAAAUAUAUCACCAAACAUGGACUUGCUCCAUGUAGAAAGAGCUUUCUUCAGUUCUUCAUCUUGUGGUUAAAAAGUAUGAAAGGACUUGCAUGGAAGUCUGUCUGCCAAUGCUCCUUAACUACAUCUAAGAAUGUCUCAUGUUUGAUCCAGAAAUUUAAGAAUCUAAAUGCUUUUUUUAUCUGACCAGUACUAGGAUUAUAUGUGAGAUGCAUUGGGCUAUGGUCUGAGCCAAUCUUAGAUAUGUGAUUUAUCUCCAAGACUGGCCAAAGUUGUUGAAGCUCCAUGUUGCCUAAACAUCUGUCUAGCCUUUUGAAUAUGCAAUCUUCCUCAGCUCUCCCAUUCCACCAUGUGAAUAUGCUUCCUUUGAAGCCAAGAUCAAAAAGGUUGCAUGUGGUUAUACAAUGUCUAAAAUCAUCAAUCUCAUUUAUAUGAACUGGGAGGCCCCCAAAUUUCUCUUCUUCAUCCCAUAUCACAUUAAAAUCUCCACCCAUAAGCCAGGGUAAAACCAUAUCAGUAGCCAAGGAAUACAAAGUGUCCCACAACUCAAUUCUUUCUCUUGCAUCACAUUUAGCAUAGACCAUGGUAAUAAUGAACUCUGUAUGGUCAUCAGUGUUGGUCAUCUUUAAAGUAAUUUGCUGCUCCAUGUUAAAAAUAAUGUCAAAAUCAUAUUUUUGAUCUAUGAAGAUCCAUACUUUGUUUGAAACAUUCACAACCACCUGCUCAAAACCCAGCCUUCUUCUAUAUUGCUCAACUGUUCUAGUCUGUUGCAUUGGUUCCAUCAAAGCAAUAAAAUCGAAUUGAUGCUGUCUAUCCAAUGUUAUUACCCUUUCAAAUGCUUGCAUUGUGUUAACUGACCUUAUAUUCCAAAUUAGAGCAUUCAUCAUCAAUUGAUUGAUUUGGAUAGAGUUCUCCUUGUUUGGACUCCUGGAAUAUGCACCCCAGUAUUCUCUCUUGGUUGUUUUUCUUCCCUCUUCCUGCUGAUUUACCUUUCUCCAUCUUUCUAGGUGAGAUAUCAUCUUGUCUAGCAACAUUUAUGAAGUUCUGUGUAUUAUAUUCUGCAUCUGUAUCUCUUCCUUUUGCCCUUUGUGUCUGGUCCUCUUCUUCAUAAUUUUCUUGAUUGAUUAACUGAUUCCUGGUAGUUUUAGGAACCACACUCUUAGCACUGGUUUUCAUCGUGACCAUUUCCUUUGUAGUUGAUGGAUUAGGGCAUGUUAUUGCUUCUUGCAUUUGAGUUAAGGUAGCCCCAUCACCUACAUUAGUAUUGCCUAAGAACUGCUACAAUUAUAAUUCCACUUUCUUCUGAGUUCCUUCCAUUUGCUGUUGUCUUGCUUCUUCCUUUUUUUUAUUUGGAUCUCCUAGAUCAUCUGUAUCCCCUGCUUUAAAGGUUUGGACUGUAGGUUCAUGUGUCUCAAUAGUGCCAGAGAAAUUUGGUUCAGGAUUGGAUGGUGGUAUUGUGAUUUUAAGAGGCUGUUCAGUUUGGAAAGGUUGGUCAGCUGUAGUAUUAGCAUUGUUACUUUCUUCUACUCUUAGUAUUUCAAUUCUGCUAUUUUUUCCAUUGACACUUUGUUGUUCCACAUCUGGAUCUUUGCUUUGUAUUUCUUCCACAUCCUCAUGUCCUUCUAGGAACUCCCCUUCGUCUGAUUCCUCUUCACGUUGUUGCUGCCAUAGUUUACCUCUCGAAAAAUUGACACGAUCCUUAAGACUUUCAUGCUCAGGAAUUAUGCUUGUAUAUAGUGAUUGAGAGGGGGUUUCUUGGCAUGACUGAUUUGUAGUAACCUUAGACAUUGGGAAGGUUCUAUUUACCCAUUGAGAAGUAUUCUUCUUACCUAUUUCUACACCUGCUUUAGUUUCAUCCCUUUCCCCAUUAGGAUGCCCAACAUGAAUUCUCUUUGAUGAUGCCACUUCAUUAGACAUAGGAGUAUAAAUUGCUGCAUCUGAAUCCAAGGGCUUCUGAAUAGGUGUGGUCUCCAUAUCAGCUCCUUCAACAAUAACAAAUUGAUUUCCUGCUGUACUUUCAUGUUCUGCUUGUAGAGCUGCAAAUUUGUUUGUUGUUUGAAGUUGUUUGGCUGUAUUAAAUUGAGAAAAUUGCCUCCUUCCAUUACCAAUGUUCUGUUGGUUAUUAUCAUUAGCUGUCAUGAUUUCCUUUGAUAAAUUAACAUUAUUUUGAGGAUUACCAGAUCCUAGCAGCUGCUGCCCGUUAGCUUGUUCAACAGGAACAAUUUCUUUCCCUGUAACCACACGAUUUCCAUUCUUCUUCACUCGAUUGUCUCUUAAUUCCUUCCAUUGUUCCCCAGGUGGAUUCACAUUACCUACAACUCUCUCACUUGAUAAGAUCAUCAAUUGUUGAUUAUGAUGCAGUUGAGUCUGCUCCUUGUUAUUUUCAGCAUUCUGCUUGCUUUGAUAAGGUGAUAAUUCCGGAUGAGAUAUCCAGCAUUCAAAAUAAUCAUGGCCUUGUAAUCUGCAUUCCUUACAAUACUUAGGAAUCAUAUCAUACUUAAUGUUUACCCAUUCAGUCCUUGUUACACCUGUUGCCUCAUUAACAAUGUCCAUUCUUACAUUUUUAGGAUGAUCAGCUAAUAAAUCGACAAGAACUUUUACCCUCGUAUAUCUAGGUCGAGUCUUAUUUAUAGUAGCCAUAUCCAAAUGUAAAGAUUUCCCAACAGCUGAAGCAAGAGAAAACAUACACUCCUUCACAAAGUAUGUAUGUAACAGACCUGGAAAAGAUAUCCAAGCCAUAGCCAUUGGAGUCUCUUCUCCUACCUUAAACUUCACAUCAUAAAUGAGAGGUCGAAUUUUGUAUUCAUUGCCGUUCUUGUCCUUGACUUAUUGAGCUCCUUUCGACGUAAAAUCAACAAAAUCCUUCCACAAGGUCAUACGUAUAAGGACAUAUCUGUCUCUCAACAAACCAAUACUACAUUCUCCCUUUAAUCCAUAUUGAGAGGGAACAAUGAGACGAAUCUCAUUUAAAUCUGGCUAGCCAUAUGCAAACUUUCCCACCACAGCAUAUUGGAGAUCCUCGAUCACGUUCAUUCUCUCAACUUCUGCCUCCGUAAAUCUAACAACUGGUUGUCCAUUCAAGAUUGCUGCUUGUCGCUCUGGGAUAGGAUCAACAGGACAUUGUUUGACGAUUUCCAUCUUUCUUUGCCUUUACAUUUGGGCUCAAUUUUGGGCCCAGUUGGCAUCAACAUUUUUAUUCUGCUCUUAAUAAUGUAACGGGCCUAAUACAGGCCCAAUGUCUUUCAAAUAACUAAAGACUUCCUUUAUAUGGCCAUACCUAUAGUCAAUAGCCUUGCAUUGAAUUUCAAGAUUAGUUUUAAAGAAAUGAAAACCAUAGUGUGCUUCAAAUUAAAUGCAAGUCUUUAAAAAUAAAUUGAGGUGUGAUAACUGUGAUUUCUACAUGUUUUAUACCCAUUCUUACCUGAGCUUUGUGCAUUAAUUGCCAUAUAUUAGCCCCAAAAUGGUUACAAAUUACACUUGAUUGUAGGUUUGAGCGACAAGAUGAUAAAUAUCAGAGAUCGACUCAAAAAGGAGUGAAAUCUGCCAAGUGUCAAAAGACAACUGAAGUGGGGAACAAGAUGACCUGCGCGGACCGCACUGAUUUGGUGCGCGGCCGCGCAGGAGAGUUCAGAGACCUUGCAAGUUUGAAGUCAAGCCACGCGGUCCGCAAUCAAUUCCACGCGGUCCGCACUGAGGGAAGUUCAGAGACCCAGAAAAUCAAGGCAAAAGCCCACGCGGCAGCACAUCAAAUCAGUGCGGUCCGCAUGGGUAAAAGUCCAGAGAGUUGAGUUUGGGGCAAAAGUCUACCACGUGGCCGCAUCCCAUUUUUACGCGGUCCGCGCAUCUUAGCCUAUGCGGCCGCGUGACAUAUCUAUGCGGUCCGCAUCCCUCAGUUCCAGAAGCAAGACUUGAAGACUUAUUGCCCUCCGCGGCUGCGUGACAUUUGUACGCGGUCCGCGCCAGACCCUCAGGGGUAUUUUUGUCCUGUUUUUCCUGUGUAGCAUAAAUAGAACAUUUUACUUUUUAGCAAUAGUUUUUUAGAUCUAUUUUGAGAGCAUAGAGCAGCUGAACUCGGGAUUUCAUGAUUUUAGCCUAUUUUGGGCAAUUUCUUCUAGUAUUAACGUGGAUUUGAGUAGAUUAACAUUGUAGUUAUUUGUUAUGUCAAUUUCAUCUAUUAUUUCUUCAA